Laticauda laticaudata (blue-ringed sea krait) is the source of this 98-nucleotide microRNA precursor. The record is from Ensembl. Lineage: Eukaryota; Metazoa; Chordata; Lepidosauria; Squamata; Elapidae.
UAUCUGCUACUCUGCUGUUGUUUUUUUAGGUUUUGAUUUUUAUGCCAUGCUCAUGUGAAAAUCAAAAUCUAAAGAAAAUGCUGCAAAGAUAGAUUAUU